Molecule: ribosomal RNA, 497 nt
Filed under: uncultured bacterium
Lineage: Bacteria
Description: partial 16S ribosomal RNA
Rfam family: Bacterial small subunit ribosomal RNA
Source: RNAcentral
GAUGAACGCUGGCGGCGUGCUUAAUACAUGCAAGUCGAGCGGAAAGAUAAGGAGCUUGCUGGUUUGACGUUAGGGGAGGACGGGUGAAUAACACGUGGGUAACCUACCUGUAAGUGUGGUAAAACCAGGGGAAACGGGGGCAAAUGCGGGAUGAGAUUUAGAAGCGUAUGGUUGUAAAGUGAAAGAUGGUGGUGCUAUAACGAAUAGAUGGACAUGCGCCGUAUUAGCUGGUAGGUAAGGUAACGGGUUAUCAAGGCGAGGAUGCGUAUCAGGACGGAUAGGGUGGUCGGCCACACUGGAACUGUGACACGCUCCAGAGUCCUACGGGAGGCAGCAGUACGGAAUCUGCCGCAAGGGGCGAAAACCUGACCGAGAAGCGCCGCGUGCUGGUGGAAGGUCUUCGGAUCGUAAAUCUCUGUUAUUAGGUUGUAACAAAUUUUUAAGUGUCUGUACGCGUCUGUACGGUACCUAGUUAGAAAGGCACGGCUAACUACGUG